CACGUAGGGGGCGAGCGUUUGUCCGGAUUUAUUGGGCGUAAAGAGCUCGUAGGCGGUUCACUAAGUCGGGUGUGAAACCUCCAGGCUCAACCUGGAGACGCCACCUGAUACUGGUGUGACUAGAGUCCGGUAGGGGAGUGUGGAACUCCUGGUGUAGCGGUGAAAUGCGCAGAUAUCAGGAAGAACACCAGCGGCGAAGGCGGCACUCUGGGCCGGUACUGACGCUGAGGAGCGAAAGCGUGGGUAGCAAACAGG
This 255-nucleotide ribosomal RNA is filed under the name uncultured bacterium. Its description in RNAcentral is "partial 16S ribosomal RNA". It matches the Rfam family "Bacterial small subunit ribosomal RNA", at positions 524 to 776 of the family's 1533-position model. The record is from RNAcentral.